CCUACGGGUGGCAGCAGUGGGGAAUAUUGGACAAUGGGCGAAAGCCUGAUCCAGCCAUGCCGCGUGUGUGAAGAAGGCCUUCGGGUUGUAAAGCACUCUCAGUGGGGAAGAAAGCCUUGGGGCUAAUACCCUCGAGGAAGGACAUCACCCACAGAAGAAGCACCGGCUAACUCCGUGCCAGCAGCCGCGGUAAUACGGAGGGUGCGAGCGUUAAUCGGAAUUACUGGGCGUAAAGCGCGCGUAGGCGGUCUGAUAAGCCGGUUGUGAAAGCCCCGGGCUCAACCUGGGAACGGCAUCCGGAACUGUCAGGCUAGAGUGCAGGAGAGGAAGGUAGAAUUCCCGGUGUAGCGGUGAAAUGCGUAGAGAUCGGGAGGAAUACCAGUGGCGAAGGCGGCCUUCUGGACUGACACUGACGCUGAGGUGCGAAAGCGUGGGUAGCAAACAGGAUUAGAUACCCUGGUAGUC
RNAcentral lists this ribosomal RNA (465 nucleotides) under Vreelandella stevensii. RNAcentral describes it as "partial 16S ribosomal RNA". It matches the Rfam family "Bacterial small subunit ribosomal RNA", at positions 338 to 795 of the family's 1533-position model. Lineage: Bacteria; Pseudomonadati; Pseudomonadota; Gammaproteobacteria; Oceanospirillales; Halomonadaceae. The record is from RNAcentral.